This 1773-nucleotide long non-coding RNA is filed under the name Homo sapiens (human). RNAcentral describes it as "HSALNT0310000". The record is from RNAcentral. Lineage: Eukaryota; Metazoa; Chordata; Mammalia; Primates; Hominidae.
AGGCUGAGGCGGGAGAAUCACUUGAGCCCGGGAGGUGGAGGUUGCAGUGAGCCGAGAUCGUGCCAUUGCACUCCAGCCUGGGCGACAGAGUUAGACUCCGUCUCAAAAAAAAAAAAAAAAAAAAAAAAAAAAAAGUUUAGGGACUCCUGUAUUAUAAAUUUUACCUUUUGCAAUUUAAUAAUACGUUGAUUAUUUCCAUCACCAUGGAGUUAAUAGAAAAUAAGACACUGCUUUAUUUAUUUUUAAAUUAUUCCACAUACCUCAUAUAUCCCAAGCUUCAUUUUUCCUGAUUAGAUCUUACCAUGUAUCUGGUUAAAUAUAUUUGUGUGUGGAGAAAGAAAGAGAGAGAGGGGGAGAGAGAGAGAGAAAGGGAAUGUAGCACAGGUUUACACUUGGUCAAUUCAGAUAGAGUAUAUGAUGUCCGUGUGUUACUCUUUCAACUUUUCUAUAGGUUUGAAUAAUAUAAAAAUAAAUAAAUUUAAGAAACUGGUAUGUGAGCAGUUCAAAGACUAUAUUGAUCAUGUUAUCUCUCCUUUUCUUCCUUUCUUUCUCUCUUUCUUUCUUUCUUUCUUUCUUUCUUUCUUUCUUUCUUUCUUUCUUUUUCUUUCUCUUUCUUUCUCUCUCUUUCUUUAUCUUUCUUUCUUUCUUUCUCUUUCUUUUCUUUUUCCUUCCUUCCUUCCUUCCUUCCUUCCUUCCUUCCUUCCUUCCUGAACUGACCCUAAUUGCUCCUUUCUCUCUUAUACUGUCAUCAAUCCUGAGACAGAGAGAACAGGACUGGGCUGGGAAAGAUGAGAAUUCAUACCCCCUCUGAGACACCUACUCUCCCUUGGGCAUCCUCACUAAUUCAAACAUUGCUUAUAUAAAAGCAGAAUGCGGUCGGCGCAGUGGCUCACGCCUGUCAUCCCAGCACUUAGGAAGGCUGAGUCGGGCGGAUCACGAGGUCAGCAGAUCGAGACCAUCCUGGCUAACGUGCUGAAACCCCAUCUCUACUAAAAAUACCAAAAAAAAAUUACAAUUAGCUUAGCGUGGUGGCGGGCACCUGUAGUCCCAGCUACUUGGGAGGCUGAGGCAGGAGAAUGGCGGGAACCCGGGUGGCAGAGCUUGCAGUGAGCUGAGAUCAAGCCACUGCACUCCAGCCUGAGCAACAGAGCAAGACUCCGUCUCAAAAAAAAAAGUAGAAUGAAAUUUGGAUUUUGGUUUUAGAAUAAUUCAGUGAGCAUUUAUUACAUAAAUGCCAAGUCUUAAUGUUUUAACAUGUAUUAUCCAUUCUAAUCUUCACAACAAACAUACAAGGUGGAAUCAUCAUAACUCCUUUCAGAUGAAAAUAUGGUAAUUCAUAGAGAUUAUAAGCACGUUUGCUAACAAUCAAAUAACUCUUCAGAAAAUUGGGAAUUGAAUCUGUCUCCCAGGAUUUCAAAAGCAGUUCUCUUACUAUUUACUUAGAAGUUCCUAAAUUCAGAAUUUAAAAUCAGGUGGGCCUGGGUUUGAAUUGCUUGCUUCCUCUGAAUAGAAACAUAAGAUUGAACAGGUUACUUCUCCAAUCUGAGCUUCAGUUUCUCAUAUGUAAUGAAAACGUAACUUGCCCUGCAAGAUUAUGACAAUUAUAUAUAUUGUAUCAUAAAUGCUUAGUUAUAGGUGCUUAGCAAAUGAAAUUAUUUUCAUUAGAUUCUUGAGAAAUAGCCUCAACAUUUUCAAUUAUUUUAUUGUGGAAGACCAUUUUUUAAUUUCAGGAAUCUAUAUUUCCUGAUGCCAAAUAUGAUUAAAUAAGCUAUU